UAGGCGGCGGACGGGUGAGUAACACGUGGGUAACCUGCCUGUAAGACUGGGAUAACUCCGGGAAACCGGGGCUAAUACCGGAUGCUUGUUUGAACCGCAUGGUUCAAACAUAAAAGGUGGCUUCGGCUACCACUUACAGAUGGACCCGCGGCGCAUUAGCUAGUUGGUGAGGUAAUGGCUCACCAAGGCAACGAUGCGUAGCCGACCUGAGAGGGUGAUCGGCCACACUGGGACUGAGACACGGCCCAGACUCCUACGGGAGGCAGCAGUAGGGAAUCUUCCGCAAUGGACGAAAGUCUGACGGAGCAACGCCGCGUGAGUGAUGAAGGUUUUCGGAUCGUAAAGCUCUGUUGUUAGGGAAGAACAAGUACCGUUCGAAUAGGGCGGUACCUUGACGGUACCUAACCAGAAAGCCACGGCUAACUACGUGCCAGCAGCCGCGGUAAUACGUAGGUGGCAAGCGUUGUCCGGAAUUAUUGGGCGUAAAGGGCUCGCAGGCGGUUUCUUAAGUCUGAUGUGAAAGCCCCCGGCUCAACCGGGGAGGGUCAUUGGAAACUGGGGAACUUGAGUGCAGAAGAGGAGAGUGGAAUUCCACGUGUAGCGGUGAAAUGCGUAGAGAUGUGGAGGAACACCAGUGGCGAAGGCGACUCUCUGGUCUGUAACUGACGCUGAGGAGCGAAAGCGUGGGGAGCGAACAGGAUUAGAUACCCUGGUAGUCCACGCCGUAAACGAUGAGUGCUAAGUGUUAGGGGGUUUCCGCCCCUUAGUGCUGCAGCUAACGCAUUAAGCACUCCGCCUGGGGAGUACGGUCGCAAGACUGAAACUCAAAGGAAUUGACGGGGGCCCGCACAAGCGGUGGAGCAUGUGGUUUAAUUCGAAGCAACGCGAAGAACCUUACCAGGUCUUGACAUCCUCUGACAAUCCUAGAGAUAGGACGUCCCCUUCGGGGGCAGAGUGACAGGUGGUGCAUGGUUGUCGUCAGCUCGUGUCGUGAGAUGUUGGGUUAAGUCCCGCAACGAGCGCAACCCUUGAUCUUAGUUGCCAGCAUUCAGUUGGGCACUCUAAGGUGACUGCCGGUGACAAACCGGAGGAAGGUGGGGAUGACGUCAAAUCAUCAUGCCCCUUAUGACCUGGGCUACACACGUGCUACAAUGGACAGAACAAAGGGCAGCGAAACCGCGAGGUUAAGCCAAUCCCACAAAUCUGUUCUCAGUUCGGAUCGCAGUCUGCAACUCGACUGCGUGAAGCUGGAAUCGCUAGUAAUCGCGGAUCAGCAUGCCGCGGUGAAUACGUU
Molecule: ribosomal RNA, 1294 nt
Filed under: Bacillus sp. SCU-B234
Lineage: Bacteria; Bacillati; Bacillota; Bacilli; Caryophanales; Bacillaceae
Description: bacterial SSU rRNA
Rfam family: Bacterial small subunit ribosomal RNA
Source: RNAcentral